GAUGAACGCUGGCGGCGUGCCUAAUACAUGCAAGUCGAGCGAACAGACGAGGAGCUUGCUCCUCUGACGUUAGCGGCGGACGGGUGAGUAACACGUGGAUAACCUACCUAUAAGACUGGGAUAACUUCGGGAAACCGGAGCUAAUACCGGAUAAUAUAUUGAACCGCUUGGUUCAAUAGUGAAAGACGGUUUUGCUGUCACUUAUAGAUGGAUCCGCGCCGCAUUAGCUAGUCGGUAAGGUAACGGCUUACCAAGGCAACGAUGCGUAGCCGACCUGAGAGGGUGAUCGGCCACACUGGAACUGAGACACGGUCCAGACUCCUACGGGAGGCAGCAGUAGGGAAUCUUCCGCAAAGGGCGAAAGCUUGACGGAGCAACGCCGCGUGAGUGAUGAAGGUCUUCGGAUCGUAAAACUCUGUUAUUAGGGAAGAACAAAUGUGUAAGUAACUAUGCACGUCUUGACGGUACCUAAUCAGAAAGCCACGGCUAACUACGUG
RNAcentral lists this ribosomal RNA (497 nucleotides) under uncultured bacterium. RNAcentral's name for it is "partial 16S ribosomal RNA". It matches the Rfam family "Bacterial small subunit ribosomal RNA", at positions 28 to 507 of the family's 1533-position model. The record is from RNAcentral.